GGGGACAGAAAAAACAUCCGCCGGAGGCCCGGCCGGGCGGCGCUCCAGCAGUGCCCAGCAGGCAGGUGCGCGAGGCGAGGAAGUGAGCGCAUUCCGGCCCCCCGGCCGCCGGCCCUCCGGAACCUAGCAGGUGUUUGAGGACAAUGACUGACUCAUCUACUCAUAUGGAGGUCUUGCAGUCAUACAUAUCACACUUGUCUUUAGAGCCCUAGUCUCAUCCGACUGCACUUUUAAUUGCUGGUUCUUUCGCUCAGAAGAUGACCUUGCCUCCUCUUUUUGGAAUGCAGGAAUCCAUAGAAUUACCCAUGGACUGUCUUUUCACAAAACCAGUAUUUCUUGCCCUCAGGGUAUGGUCCAGUUCAACUUUCCAAAUACAUACAUAGACAGGUCAGAUCAGUCAAGCAGAGAGAAGACUGGAAGAUAGGACAAAAUCCCUUUUUACUAGCCGUUGGGAGCUGGAAUUGAAAUUACCAUCCCUCUGUGUUGAAGAAGUCCUAAGGCUGCUAUUUCUACUGGACUUGGGGCAAAAGAUGUUGUCGGGGUCUUGCCUUUGACAUGGAUUCCAGCUACAUGCUCCUCAAAGGUAAGGGCUGUAUUAUUCACCUUUUCUUGUAUUCACCCUUACAGCUGUGCAAGUCAGCCAGUGUUCAAUAAAGAAAUAUCAUACCUAAGA
Molecule: long non-coding RNA, 673 nt
Organism: Panthera uncia (snow leopard)
Lineage: Eukaryota; Metazoa; Chordata; Mammalia; Carnivora; Felidae
Exons: 6
Source: RefSeq, a predicted model, not a curated record